CGGGGUGUAGCGCAGUUGGUAGCGCGCCUGCUUUGGGAGCAGGAUGUCAGAAGUUCGAAUCUUCUCACCCCGACCA
Molecule: transfer RNA, 76 nt
Filed under: Pseudomonas sp. PLMAX
Lineage: Bacteria; Pseudomonadati; Pseudomonadota; Gammaproteobacteria; Pseudomonadales; Pseudomonadaceae
Also listed under: 1 other name
Description: tRNA-Pro
Rfam family: tRNA
About the family: Transfer RNA (tRNA) molecules are approximately 80 nucleotides in length. Their secondary structure includes four short double-helical elements and three loops (D, anti-codon, and T loops).
Source: RNAcentral